RNAcentral lists this long non-coding RNA (934 nucleotides) under Setaria viridis. RNAcentral describes it as "long non-coding RNA (SVIR_LNC010392)". Lineage: Eukaryota; Viridiplantae; Streptophyta; Magnoliopsida; Poales; Poaceae. The record is from RNAcentral.
GACGGAGAGAGUAAAUGUUAUAACUAGGUCCCAUUUGGAUGUCAUAGGAUUAUAAGAAUCUAGAUAGUGGCUAUAGAUAAAAAAUCUAUAUUAUAGAUUAUAAAUAGUUGGGCUCCUAGAUUAUAAGGUGUCUGAUGGUUGGUUAUGUCUAUAAUUUCAAAAUUGUAUAGUUUAGGGAGAUAGUAGGAUUAUAAGUUAUUUUAAGAUUUGGAUGGUUAGAUACUAUAGUCUACACAAGAAUUUGGGUUGUUUGGAUCUCAUAUUGAUUUUUAUAUGGUUCCUAAUUUGUAUGAGAUCCAAACAAGACUUUAUAAUAACUAAUAAAGUAUUAAAUGAUGUUAUAUUAGCAUAUUUAAUGUAAAUUAAUGCUGAGUAUGAUAAAGUUAAUAUAGUUCAUUUAUGUAGAAUGAGUAAUAUUAAUUUUAGCACCAAAUACAGUAAUGGUACUUUUCAUUGAAAGCUUUGCUAGUAGGGGUAAUAUAAUUGGCACCGCACUUGAAGCUAGCGAUGGAAGGUGUAGGAGGGAGGGAACGAACACCGACGAGAAAAGAAAUUGCAAUUCAUAUGCCAUAAAAAAGAGUGGCAUGUGAUGGGAAGAAGCAUACACCCAACUAUGUCCGGUGCAGAUUGGGCAAGUAAUAUGAGACAUCAGCGAAGGAAGAUUAUAUUAUAGGUAUCUUACAAUUGUUGGAGGUCAGCUAUUGACUAUAGAUGGUGUUAGGGAGAAUUCAGAAUUAGGUGAUAAAGGAAAUAGAUGAACGUCCUUGUCCUUAAUUAAAUGGCAUUUAGGAGACAAUCUAAUUAGUUUAAAUAAAUAUCCUAUAUUUUUAAAUAAAUAACAUUUAAUACAAGCCAAUUAAUUUAUUUAAAAUUAUUUACUAGUAUUUAGCUUGCUGUCAAGUCUCAACGUUAUUUGCUUGAGAAAGGAGGAAAU